CACCUUGCUUGUGCGGCGGCCCGGGUGACGUGACCCGGAACUGUAGCCGAGAUUCCGGUUCCGGGUGAUGAUGCUGCGACUGGUUGGCCGGCGGGUACUGAAUGUUUGCACGACAGAGGUGGCCACUGGGACUCACCUGAUCUCGCCCUGUUUCAGAGCAAAGCUUAAUGAGAUUGUUGUGAAACACAAUGGGGUGUACCUCUCCACGGCAGCGGUUGCCGCAGGUGCUGAAGAUUCACUUCUGAAGUGGGCUCUGCUCCUAAUCCCAGUCACCACCUUUGGCCUCGGAACCUGGCAGAUUCAACGUCGGAAAUGGAAACUGCAGCUUAUCAAGGAACUGAAGAAGAGAACACACUCUGACCCCCUGCCCCUUCCCCUUGAUCAGCUGGAGUUGAAGGAGCUGGAGUACAGACGGGUGAGGGUGCGAGGGAGGUUUGACCACUCCAAGGAGCUCUACAUCAUGCCCCGAUCACGGGUGGAUCCGAAUAAGGAGGCGCAAGAAGCUGGGCGUCUGAUGUCCAGCACAGAGACCGGGGCCAAUGUAGUCACACCAUUCAACUGCACAGACCUGGGGGUGAGGAUUCUUGUUAACAGGGGCUUUGUACCCAAAACGAGGAUCAAGCCAGAAACACGGAGCAAAGGACAGGUGAGAGGAUUCAAGGAAACAGGCAGAUUACAGGAGAAGUUGAGCUCGUUGGGAUUGUUCGACUCUCGGAAACUCGCAAACCGUUCACCCCUCAAAAUGACGUUAAGAAGAACUGCUGGCAUUACCGGGAUUUGGAGACAAUGGCACAAAUUGUGGGCACUGAACCGAUCCUCAUCGAUGCAGACUUAGACAGCACAGUCCCUGGAGGUCCAAUCGGUGGGCAGACAAGAGUAACCUUGAGGAAUGAACAUCUGCAGUAUAUCCUAACCUGGUAUGGGUUGUGCGCAGCAACGUCCUACAUGUGGUUCCAGAAGUUUGUACGGAAAAUCGCUGUCUAGUGACCUGUUCAGCAGCUUCUCCAUGGAAAUUAACUUCCCUGUCAUGAAUCUCUGUCUCCCCGCUGUGGGAAAUAUGAUGCUGUAAAUUCUAACAAAUAAAAGUGAUCUGUUUAUGUUCACACCCUA
This is an RNA transcript of Carcharodon carcharias (great white shark), 1110 nucleotides long. It is a transcript of the gene named surfeit locus protein 1, with no coding region annotated. The transcript has 9 exons. NCBI's taxonomy places the organism in Eukaryota, Metazoa, Chordata, Chondrichthyes, Lamniformes, Lamnidae. The record is from RefSeq and is a predicted model, not a curated record.